AGGCUCAGGAUGAACGACUAGCGACAGGCCUAACACAUGCAAGUCGAGGGGCAGCACAAGGAGCAAUCUGAGGUGGCGACCGGCGCACGGGUGAGUAACACGUAUGCAACCUGCCUGUAAGCGGGGAAUAACCCGUUGAAAGACGGACUAAUACCGCAUAAUACUAAAUUACUGCAUGGUAAUUUAUUUAAACAUUUAUGGCUUACAGAUGGGCAUGCGCAUGAUUAGCUAGUUGGAGAGGUAACGGCUCCCCAAGGCAACGAUCAUUAGGGGUUCUGAGAGGAAGGUCCCCCCACACUGGUACUGAGACACGGACCAGACUCCUACGGGAGGCAGCAGUGAGGAAUAUUGGUCAAUGGACGAGAGUCUGAACCAGCCAAGUCGCGUGCAGGAAGAAUUGUCCUAUGGAUUGUAAACUGCUUUUGCAGGGGAAUAAAGUGCAUCACGUGUGAUGUUUUGUAUGUACUCCGCGAAUAAGGAUCGGCUAACUCCGUGCCAGCAGCAGC
Molecule: ribosomal RNA, 506 nt
Filed under: uncultured bacterium
Lineage: Bacteria
Description: bacterial SSU rRNA
Rfam family: Bacterial small subunit ribosomal RNA
Source: RNAcentral